CCAGAACUGCGUAUUUGUCUAGCAAAUUAGACUUCUUAGAAUGAGAGAAGACUCUUGUCUCUCAUUUUUAAAGUGAAGAAGAGGAACAGGGUCAGAUUGAACUACAAGAGAAGGUAAGUAUUAGAGGCAUGGAAUCCUCUUGGAGCUGGGGAUACAAGGGUGUCAGAACACAGGGC
This 176-nucleotide long non-coding RNA is filed under the name Dasypus novemcinctus (nine-banded armadillo). RNAcentral's name for it is "lncRNA (ENSDNOG00000049881.1)". Lineage: Eukaryota; Metazoa; Chordata; Mammalia; Cingulata; Dasypodidae. The record is from RNAcentral.